RNAcentral lists this ribosomal RNA (887 nucleotides) under uncultured archaeon. RNAcentral's name for it is "bacterial SSU rRNA". It matches the Rfam family "Archaeal small subunit ribosomal RNA", at positions 33 to 926 of the family's 1478-position model. The record is from RNAcentral.
UCGGAUUGAUACUAAGCCAUGCGAGUCAUUGUAGCAAUACAAGGCAGACGGCUCAGUAACGCGUAGUCAACCUAACCUAUGGACGGGAAUAACCUCGGGAAACUGAGUAUAAUGCCCGAUAGAACAUUAUGCCUGGAAUGGUUUAUGUUCCAAAUGAUUUAUCGCCGUAGGAUGGGACUGCGGCCUAUCAGUUUGUUGGUGAGGUAAUGGCCCACCAAGACUAUUACAGGUACGGGCUCUGAGAGGAGUAGCCCGGAGAUGGGUACUGAGACACGGACCCAGGCCCUAUGGGGCGCAGCAGGCGAGAAAACUUUGCAAUGUGCGAAAGCACGACAAGGUUAAUCCGAGUGGUUUCUGCUAAAGGAACCUUUUGUCGGUCCUAGAAACACCGAUGAAUAAGGGGUGGGCAAGUUCUGGUGUCAGCCGCCGCGGUAAAACCAGCACCUCAAGUGGUCAGGAUGAUUAUUGGGCCUAAAGCAUCCGUAGCCGGCUCUAUAAGUUUUCGGUUAAAUCUGUAUGCUCAACAUACAGGCUGCCGGGAAUACUGUAGAGCUAGGGAGUGGGAGAGGUAGACGGUACUCGGUAGGAAGGGGUAAAAUCCUUUGAUCUAUUGAUGACCACCUGUGGCGAAGGCGGUCUACCAGAACACGUCCGACGGUGAGGGAUGAAAGCUGGGGGAGCAAACCGGAUUAGAUACCCGGGUAGUCCCAGCUGUAAACUAUGCAAACUCAGUGAUGCAUUGGCUUGUGGCCAAUGCAGUGCUGCAGGGAAGCCGUUAAGUUUGCCGCCUGGGAAGUACGUACGCAAGUAUGAAACUUAAAGGAAUUGGCGGGGGAGCACCACAAGGGGUGAAGCCUGCGGUUCAAUUGGAUUCAACGCCGGGAAGG